GACAGAGGAUGCAAGCGUUAUCCGGAAUGAUUGGGCGUAAAGCGUCUGUAGGUGGCUUUUUAAGUCCGCCGUCAAAUCCCAGGGCUCAACCCUGGACAGGCGGUGGAAACUACCAAGCUGGAGUACGGUAGGGGCAGAGGGAAUUUCCGGUGGAGCGGUGAAAUGCGUAGAGAUCGGAAAGACCACCAAUGGCGAAGGCACUCUACUGGGCCAUUACUGACACUAAGAGACGAAAGCUAGGGGAGCGAAUGG
RNAcentral lists this ribosomal RNA (252 nucleotides) under uncultured bacterium. RNAcentral's name for it is "partial 16S ribosomal RNA". It matches the Rfam family "Bacterial small subunit ribosomal RNA", at positions 524 to 775 of the family's 1533-position model. The record is from RNAcentral.